This 253-nucleotide ribosomal RNA is filed under the name uncultured bacterium. RNAcentral's name for it is "partial 16S ribosomal RNA". It matches the Rfam family "Bacterial small subunit ribosomal RNA", at positions 524 to 776 of the family's 1533-position model. The record is from RNAcentral.
UACGUAGGUGGCAAGCGUUGUCCGGAUUUACUGGGCGUAAAGAGCGCGCAGGCGGCUGAUUAAGUCGAAUGUGAAAGCCCCCGGCUCAACUGGGGAGGGUCAUUCGAUACUGAUCAACUUGAAGGCAGGAGAGGGUAGUGGAAUUCCCGGUGUAGUGGUGAAAUGCGCAGAUAUCAGGAGGAACACCGAUGGCGAAGGCAGGUCUCUGGGCCAUAACUGACGCUGAGAAGCGAAAGCAUGGGGAGCGAACAGG